GGUUAAGCGACUAAGCGUACACGGUGGAUGCCCUGGCAGUCAGAGGCGAUGAAGGACGUGCUAAUCUGCGAUAAGCGUCGGUAAGGUGAUAUGAACCGUUAUAACCGGCGAUUUCCGAAUGGGGAAACCCAGUGUGAUUCGUCACACUAUCAUUAACUGAAUCCAUAGGUUAAUGAGGCGAACCGGGGGAACUGAAACAUCUAAGUACCCCGAGGAAAAGAAAUCAACCGAGAUUCCCCCAGUAGCGGCGAGCGAACGGGGAGCAGCCCAGAGCCUGAAUCAGUGUGUGUGUUAGUGGAAGCGUCUGGAAAGGCGCGCGAUACAGGGUGACAGCCCCGUACACAAAAAUGCACAUGCUGUGAGCUCGAUGAGUAGGGCGGGACACGUGGUAUCCUGUCUGAAUAUGGGGGGACCAUCCUCCAAGGCUAAAUACUCCUGACUGACCGAUAGUGAACCAGUACCGUGAGGGAAAGGCGAAAAGAACCCCGGCGAGGGGAGUGAAAAAGAACCUGAAACCGUGUACGUACAAGCAGUGGGAGCCUCUUUAUGGGGUGACUGCGUACCUUUUGUAUAAUGGGUCAGCGACUUAUAUUCUGUAGCAAGGUUAACCGAAUAGGGGAGCCGAAGGGAAACCGAGUCUUAACUGGGCGUUAAGUUGCAGGGUAUAGACCCGAAACCCGGUGAUCUAGCCAUGGGCAGGUUGAAGGUUGGGUAACACUAACUGGAGGACCGAACCGACUAAUGUUGAAAAAUUAGCGGAUGACUUGUGGCUGGGGGUGAAAGGCCAAUCAAACCGGGAGAUAGCUGGUUCUCCCCGAAAGCUAUUUAGGUAGCGCCUCGUGAAUUCAUCUCCGGGGGUAGAGCACUGUUUCGGCAAGGGGGUCAUCCCGACUUACCAACCCGAUGCAAACUGCGAAUACCGGAGAAUGUUAUCACGGGAGACACACGGCGGGUGCUAACGUCCGUCGUGAAGAGGGAAACAACCCAGACCGCCAGCUAAGGUCCCAAAGUCAUGGUUAAGUGGGAAACGAUGUGGGAAGGCCCAGACAGCCAGGAUGUUGGCUUAGAAGCAGCCAUCAUUUAAAGAAAGCGUAAUAGCUCACUGGUCGAGUCGGCCUGCGCGGAAGAUGUAACGGGGCUAAACCAUGCACCGAAGCUGCGGCAGCGACGCUUAUGCGUUGUUGGGUAGGGGAGCGUUCUGUAAGCCUGCGAAGGUGUACUGUGAGGUAUGCUGGAGGUAUCAGAAGUGCGAAUGCUGACAUAAGUAACGAUAAAGCGGGUGAAAAGCCCGCUCGCCGGAAGACCAAGGGUUCCUGUCCAACGUUAAUCGGGGCAGGGUGAGUCGACCCCUAAGGCGAGGCCGAAAGGCGUAGUCGAUGGGAAACAGGUUAAUAUUCCUGUACUUGGUGUUACUGCGAAGGGGGGACGGAGAAGGCUAUGUUGGCCGGGCGACGGUUGUCCCGGUUUAAGCGUGUAGGCUGGUUUUCCAGGCAAAUCCGGAAAAUCAAGGCUGAGGCGUGAUGACGAGGCACUACGGUGCUGAAGCAACAAAUGCCCUGCUUCCAGGAAAAGCCUCUAAGCAUCAGGUAACAUCAAAUCGUACCCCAAACCGACACAGGUGGUCAGGUAGAGAAUACCAAGGCGCUUGAGAGAACUCGGGUGAAGGAACUAGGCAAAAUGGUGCCGUAACUUCGGGAGAAGGCACGCUGAUACGUAGGUGAAGUCCCUUGCGGAUGGAGCUGAAAUCAGUCGAAGAUACCAGCUGGCUGCAACUGUUUAUUAAAAACACAGCACUGUGCAAACACGAAAGUGGACGUAUACGGUGUGACGCCUGCCCGGUGCCGGAAGGUUAAUUGAUGGGGUUAGCGCAAGCGAAGCUCUUGAUCGAAGCCCCGGUAAACGGCGGCCGUAACUAUAACGGUCCUAAGGUAGCGAAAUUCCUUGUCGGGUAAGUUCCGACCUGCACGAAUGGCGUAAUGAUGGCCAGGCUGUCUCCACCCGAGACUCAGUGAAAUUGAACUCGCUGUGAAGAUGCAGUGUACCCGCGGCAAGACGGAAAGACCCCGUGAACCUUUACUAUAGCUUGACACUGAACAUUGAGCCUUGAUGUGUAGGAUAGGUGGGAGGCUUUGAAGUGUGGACGCCAGUCUGCAUGGAGCCGACCUUGAAAUACCACCCUUUAAUGUUUGAUGUUCUAACGUUGGCCCCUAAUCGGGGUUGCGGACAGUGUCUGGUGGGUAGUUUGACUGGGGCGGUCUCCUCCUAAAGAGUAACGGAGGAGCACGAAGGUUGGCUAAUCCUGGUCGGACAUCAGGAGGUUAGUGCAAUGGCAUAAGCCAGCUUGACUGCGAGCGUGACGGCGCGAGCAGGUGCGAAAGCAGGUCAUAGUGAUCCGGUGGUUCUGAAUGGAAGGGCCAUCGCUCAACGGAUAAAAGGUACUCCGGGGAUAACAGGCUGAUACCGCCCAAGAGUUCAUAUCGACGGCGGUGUUUGGCACCUCGAUGUCGGCUCAUCACAUCCUGGGGCUGAAGUAGGUCCCAAGGGUAUGGCUGUUCGCCAUUUAAAGUGGUACGCGAGCUGGGUUUAGAACGUCGUGAGACAGUUCGGUCCCUAUCUGCCGUGGGCGCUGGAGAACUGAGGGGGGCUGCUCCUAGUACGAGAGGACCGGAGUGGACGCAUCACUGGUGUUCGGGUUGUCAUGCCAAUGGCACUGCCCGGUAGCUAAAUGCGGAAGAGAUAAGUGCUGAAAGCAUCUAAGCACGAAACUUGCCCCGAGAUGAGUUCUCCCUGACUCCCUGAGAGUCCUGAAGGAACGUUGAAGACGACGACGUUGAUAGGCCGGGUGUGUAAGCGCAGCGAUGCGUUGAGCUAACCGGUACUAAUGAACCGUGAGGCUUAACCUU
RNAcentral lists this ribosomal RNA (2903 nucleotides) under Escherichia coli. RNAcentral's name for it is "23S ribosomal RNA". It matches the Rfam family "Bacterial large subunit ribosomal RNA". The record is from RNAcentral. Lineage: Bacteria; Pseudomonadati; Pseudomonadota; Gammaproteobacteria; Enterobacterales; Enterobacteriaceae.